This 253-nucleotide ribosomal RNA is filed under the name uncultured bacterium. Its description in RNAcentral is "partial 16S ribosomal RNA". It matches the Rfam family "Bacterial small subunit ribosomal RNA", at positions 524 to 776 of the family's 1533-position model. The record is from RNAcentral.
UACGUAGGGGGCAAGCGUUAAUCGGAAUUACUGGGCGUAAAGAGUGCGCAGGCGGUGAAGUAAGACAGAUGGGAAAUCCCCGGGCUCAACCUGGGAACUGCAUCUGUGACUGCAUUGCUGGAGUGCGGCAGAGGGGGAUGGAAUUCCGCGUGUAGCAGUGAAAUGCGUAGAUAUGCGGAGGAACACCGAUGGCGAAGGCAAUCCCCUGGGCCUGCACUGACGCUCAUGCACGAAAGCGUGGGGAGCAAACAGG